GUCGAACCAGCUAUAUAAGGCAAGUGCAACCUCUGCUGGUCAGUUGGAUUGACUUCCUCUACAGCAAAGAUGAGAGUGAGUUUUGCGUUCUUGGUGCUGCUGGGGUUCUUGGCGGUGGCACAGACAUCGCCCCAUCACCACGGCCACUCCUGGGAGAGGUCAAAUGAAGAGUUUUCAAGUGAGGAGUUAGAUUGUCAGGGAAAUGCAGUUUCUUCGGUCGCUUCAAGUUCCCCUUCGACCACCGUGGGGACGACCACUUCGGUCACCACGACCACAAUAGAAGCCA
This is a non-coding RNA of Penaeus vannamei (Pacific white shrimp), 286 nucleotides long. Lineage: Eukaryota; Metazoa; Arthropoda; Malacostraca; Decapoda; Penaeidae. The record is from RefSeq and is a predicted model, not a curated record.